RNAcentral lists this long non-coding RNA (744 nucleotides) under Astyanax mexicanus (Mexican tetra). RNAcentral describes it as "lncRNA (ENSAMXG00005019163.1)". Lineage: Eukaryota; Metazoa; Chordata; Actinopteri; Characiformes; Acestrorhamphidae. The record is from RNAcentral.
CAGAAACACAAAUAAAAUAUGUAACUUUAAUCUCCUUGGGGCUUAGCCUGCCCUUUAUGAGUCGGAUUUUUUUGGCUAAGAUAUUGAGUUGGGUCUGUGUGGUGUUUUCUGUUGUAUGCUAGCCUGUACCUUGUACAUAGGCUACCAUACAGUUAAUAAGAUGGCAUGUGUUUUGUUACACCAUAAGAACCAAGUUUAUGUCUGUACAAAUUUGCUUUGGUUGCAGGUGCUCGUGUGUAUUUAUGGUGGGUAUGUAUAGGCUGUACUAAAUGUUUUGUGUAUGUAUUUUCCAGAAAGGUUGCAAGGGACUGGAGUGUGAUGAACUGACACCCUGUUCAGCAGGUAUUCCUACUUUGUACCAAAUGAUCAUCGGUAUGCUCUGGACCACCACAACCCUGACUUGGAAAAAGAAGAUAAGAAGAUUAAUAAAAUGGAAGGAUCAUGGCUGGUCCAGACUCUACACGGAAUCACUGGAGACAAGGCAGGAACACCCCCUGGACAGGGCACCAGACUAUUACAUGGUACCACACACAGCCACUCACUCACACACUCACACUUAGGGGGCAAUUUAGUGUAGCCACUUCACUUACUACUUGUAUUUUUGGGAGGUGGUAGGAAAUUGGAUCACCCACAGGAAACCCACAUGGACAUACAAAGAACACACAAAACUCUUUACAGACAGUGACCAGAGCAAGGAUCAAACCCACAACCCCAGAUCUCUGAAACAGAACACAUAAUAUCUGC